RNAcentral lists this long non-coding RNA (545 nucleotides) under Olea europaea subsp. europaea. The record is from RNAcentral. Lineage: Eukaryota; Viridiplantae; Streptophyta; Magnoliopsida; Lamiales; Oleaceae.
AAGCAAAGAUUACCUCAUCAGCAAUCUUGGGAGGUGGCAUAUCCCCAACCAAGUCUACCACCUGUGGCUCCACCACUUGUUAGGACUUCCCCUUGUCUGGGCAAGAAGACUUUGCCACAACGGGCAAACCCAUGGGAGCAUCUGCAGAACUCAAAAAGCAACAAAUCAAAAACCAAUAGCACAAACAAAGGUAAAACAUAAAAAAUGCAUUACCUUCUGGUUCGACGUUUGGGGGUUGACGCCCUGAGAAGAAGGUGGCUCAUCCAUUGGUUGUGAUGAGGAUUCCGAGACUGAAGGUUUCUCUUUAAGCGUAGUCCCUUCAUCAGCUGGUUUGGAUGAAGCAGCCUUAGCAGAGGAUGAUGGAGCAGGAGUUACCAACACCAAAGCCUUCAAAGGAGAGGUUGAACUUUUCUGAAAAAUUCGAAUAAACCAUCAGCAUAUAGAAAAGUUUCAAGUAUAGAAAUGUAUGCUUGUGAGUAAACUAAUUUAAUUACAUUUCUCCUAACGAUGAGAGGAGUGUCAUCAUCAUCAUCCUCCAAAAUAGG